CCUACGGGAGGCAGCAGUGGGGAAUAUUGCACAAUGGGGGAAACCCUGAUGCAGCGACGCCGCGUGAGUGAAGAAGUAAUUCGUUAUGUAAAGCUCUAUCAGUAGGGAAGAAAAUGACGGUACCUGAGUAAGAAGCCCCGGCUAACUACGUGCCAGCAGCCGCGGUAAUACGUAGGGGGCAAGCGUUAUCCGGAUUUACUGGGUGGAAAGGGAGCGUAGACGGCAGUGCAAGUCUGGAGUGAAAGGCGGGGGCUCAACCCCCGGACUGCUCUGGAAACUGUACGGCUGGAGUGCAGGAGAGGUAAGUGGAAUGCCUAGUGUAGCGGUGAAAUGCGUAGAUAUUAGGAGGAACACCAGUGGCGAAGGCGGCUUACUGGACUGUAACUGACGUUGAGGCUCGAAAGCGUGGGGAGCAAACAGGAUUAGAUACCCCUGUAGUC
Molecule: ribosomal RNA, 440 nt
Filed under: uncultured bacterium
Lineage: Bacteria
Description: partial 16S ribosomal RNA
Rfam family: Bacterial small subunit ribosomal RNA
Source: RNAcentral